AAUGGCUGUAGUGUGACAGGGUAUUAGUAAGGCUGCUCGACAGCUAGGUCUCAAAAUCAGACAGACCGAAAUUUAACCAACCUAAGGGGUUACAGAUAAAAUUAUAGCUGCAGGAAUGCUUUCGGGCUGGACUGGCCCACCUCAGCCACGCACAUCUUACCGGAAAGCUCAACCAAUCACUUCCUAUCUAGCAUGUCGUGCAAGGGGUAAAACCGUCACCAAACAGGGGACUAUUAUGACGGGCGGAGGGGUCCCCGGCCGCUGCGCGCCUCUCAUAAUAAAAAAAGGGAAAGCGCCUCUUACUGGUCACGUCGCACGAGUUUUUGUUUUCGAAUAGCGGAUCUUUCCCGUUUAUUAUUGGUAAAAUUCGGC
This 372-nucleotide long non-coding RNA is filed under the name Androctonus crassicauda. Lineage: Eukaryota; Metazoa; Arthropoda; Arachnida; Scorpiones; Buthidae. The record is from RNAcentral.